AAAGACAAAAAAUUUUUCUAAUUCUUCUUAAUUAUCAUCUAUAUAUUGAUCUAUCAUUAAAUUUAAAUUAAAUAUGCUAAAUUACAUUCAAAUAAUUCAUUAACAACUAUAUAUAAAAAAUGAAUUAAAUGAAAUUCAAAGUGUAAUUUCCACUUAAAGAACAAGAUUCUUUAAUAAUUAAGUACCGCCAAAUAAACUAACUUUAACUAUUACAUUAAUUACUAUUUAAAUUUCAUUAAUUUUUCUAGGGUAUCUAAUCCUAUUAACUUAAAUUAAUUAAAAUUGAAAAUUCAUAAUCAAAUUAAAAUCUAAAAAUUUCACUUAAAUAUUUUAAUUAAAAUCAAAUCUAAAUUUCAAGUACAAAGAAAUUUUAAUUUCACCAAUCAUGUAUAACCG
This 396-nucleotide ribosomal RNA is filed under the name Dactylopius opuntiae. RNAcentral's name for it is "partial small subunit ribosomal RNA". Lineage: Eukaryota; Metazoa; Arthropoda; Insecta; Hemiptera; Dactylopiidae. The record is from RNAcentral.